Molecule: ribosomal RNA, 531 nt
Filed under: uncultured bacterium
Lineage: Bacteria
Description: bacterial SSU rRNA
Rfam family: Bacterial small subunit ribosomal RNA
Source: RNAcentral
UCGAGAAUCUUCCGCAAUGGGCGCAAGCCUGACGGAGCGAUGCCGCGUGAGGGAUGAAGGCCUUCGGGUUGUAAACCUCUGUCACCCGGGACGAAGCAAGUGACGGUACCGGGAGAGGAAGCACCGGCUAACUACGUGCCAGCAGCCGCGGUAAUACGUAGGGUGCGAGCGUUAUUCGGAUUUACUGGGCGUAAAGGGUCCGCAGGGGGUUUGCCAAGUCCGGUGUGAAAUCCCGCAGCUCAACUGCGGAACGGCAUUGGAUACUGGUGAACUACAGAGUGCACGAGGGGUGAGUGGAAUUCCUGGUGUAGCGGUGGAAUGCGCAGAUAUCAGGAGGAACACCGAUGGCGAAGGCGGCUCACUGGCGUGCUACUGACCCUCAGGGACGAAAGCGUGGGGAGCAAACAGGAUUAGAUACCCUGGUAGUCCACGCUGUAAACGGUGCGCACUAGAUGUGGGCGGAUUCUGAUCCCGUCCGUGUCCAAGCCAACGCGUUAAGUGCGCCGCCUGGGGACUACGGCCGCAAGGCUA